Molecule: ribosomal RNA, 504 nt
Filed under: uncultured bacterium
Lineage: Bacteria
Description: partial 16S ribosomal RNA
Rfam family: Bacterial small subunit ribosomal RNA
Source: RNAcentral
GACGAACGCUGGCGGCGUGCCUAAUACAUGCAAGUAGAACGCACAGUUUAUACCGUAGCUUGCUACACCAUAGACUGUGAGUUGCGAACGGGUGAGUAACGCGUAGGUAACCUGCCUGGUAGCGGGGGAUAACUAUUGGAAACGAUAGCUAAUACCGCAUAAUAUUAAUUAUUGCAUGAUAAUUAAUUGAAAGGUGCAAUUGCACCACUACCAGAUGGACCUGCGUUGUAUUAGAUAGUAGGUGAGGUAACGGCUCACCUAGGCGACGAAACAUAGCCGACCUGAGUGGGUGGUCGCCCACACUGGGAGUGGAACCCGGCCCAGACUCCUACGGGAGGGAGCAGGAGGGAAUUUUCGGCAAGAGAAGAAAGUCUUACCGAGGAAGCGCGGGGGGGUAAAAGAGGUUUUCGGUUCGUAAAGCCCUGUUUUAGGAAAAAAACGGGUGGGAGGGGGGAAGGUACCCACGGUGGGGGAAUCUUACCAAAAAGGGGCGGGAACCUACUU